RNAcentral lists this long non-coding RNA (249 nucleotides) under Setaria italica (foxtail millet). Its description in RNAcentral is "long non-coding RNA (SITA_LNC002567)". Lineage: Eukaryota; Viridiplantae; Streptophyta; Magnoliopsida; Poales; Poaceae. The record is from RNAcentral.
UGGUUAGCGGUGGCGGGGGUUGUCGGCGGCCGGGCAAGCUGCCGGGGAAGGCGGGGGAUCUCGGAUCCGAACGAGGGGAAGGGGAGGGGAGGGGAGAGAGGAGGGCGGUGCUCGCCGGAGUCGUUCGACGCCGGUGAGGGGGGCGCAGGGGCAGCGAACGGAUAAAUGCGGGGUGAGGCUCUCGGUCGAAGGCUACCUGGAGACUGCUUUCCUGUAGCCGCCUCCGUUUUGAAAUGUUAUUGCGACAAU